UACGAAGGGGGCUAGCGUUGCUCGGAAUUACUGGGCGUAAAGGGCGCGUAGGCGGAUGCUUAAGUUGGGGGUGAAAGCCCAGGGCUCAACCCUGGAAUUGCCUUCAAUACUGGGCAUCUUGAGUACGGGAGAGGUGUGUGGAACUCCGAGUGUAGAGGUGAAAUUCGUAGAUAUUCGGAAGAACACCGGUGGCGAAGGCGGCCCGCUGGGCAGGAAGGCUCGCAAGAGCCGGCUGACGCUGAGGCGCGACAGCGUGGGGAGCAAACAGG
Molecule: ribosomal RNA, 269 nt
Filed under: uncultured bacterium
Lineage: Bacteria
Description: partial 16S ribosomal RNA
Rfam family: Bacterial small subunit ribosomal RNA
Source: RNAcentral